Cyclopterus lumpus (lumpfish) is the source of this 802-nucleotide long non-coding RNA. RefSeq lists it as uncharacterized. The record is from RefSeq and is a predicted model, not a curated record. The transcript is spliced from 3 exons. NCBI's taxonomy places the organism in Eukaryota, Metazoa, Chordata, Actinopteri, Perciformes, Cyclopteridae.
ACAGCACGGAGCUUCAGACAAGCUCAUGUCCACUGCCGGUAAGACGUAAGUUACCUUUAUAUGUAUGUUUAUGUUAAUCUUUAUUCUCGUCCGGUGUCACGUGACGCGACACGGCAAAUGCAGCCGGCGUAGCGAGUUAACCCCGGCAAGCCACGGAUACCGUAACUAGUUAAACACCGUGUUAGCUGCCGUUAAAAACCAUAGAAUAAGUGUGGAGUGGGCCUGUGGAGUCGACGUCUCUGCGGGCUUCAGAACAGCACGGAGCUUCACACAAGCUCAUGUCCACUGCCGAGACUACUAUUAAUAUCUGGUAUGAAAACAAUAGAUGUAUGAAGAUUAAGAGCUGGAGAGAGAUGCUGAGUGUCUCUCCUUCAACAUGUGCAGAGCUCUGUUUAUGCAUCAUCCUCAUCAUCUGCCAGACAACUGGCAACUCCUGUACGGACCCAAACAGCAUGCUGCACCCAACAACAACACAUCAGAUCUCACAAUGUGUCAAAUGUAUGUAUGUAUAUAUCUUUUCUCAUUUUUAUGGUUUUAGAUAUUUGUGUUUUUGUGACCUUGCACUAUAAGCUCUGUGUUCAAUAUUUACUGUCCCUGUUGUGGUUAAUACAUAUUUUUCAUGGACUAAUAUCUACAUGUCUCAUUAAUAUGUGAAUCAUUAUAGUGAACAGUAAAGACAUAUUUAAUUUAAUUAGUUGCUAGACUCGCAGGAGAACACCAUUUUUGACCGUGUGAGAACAGACAGUGUCGCAACGAAUGUUUUGAUUUCCUUCAUUUUUUUGAACAGACAAAUGGGUUUUGU